UACGGAGGGUGCGAGCGUUGUCCGGAAUCACUGGGCGUAAAGGGCGCGUAGGUGGCGCGAGAGUCAACGGUGAAAGUUCGGGGCUCAACCCUGAAUCGGCCGUCGAUACUCCCGUGGCUCGAGCACUGUAGAGGCAGAUGGAAUUCCGGGGUGUAGCGGUGGAAUGCGUAGAGAUCCGGAAGAACGACCGGUGGCGCAGGCGGUCUGAGCUGGGUCAGUGC
Molecule: ribosomal RNA, 221 nt
Filed under: uncultured bacterium
Lineage: Bacteria
Description: partial 16S ribosomal RNA
Rfam family: Bacterial small subunit ribosomal RNA
Source: RNAcentral